This 352-nucleotide long non-coding RNA is filed under the name Hordeum vulgare. RNAcentral's name for it is "long non-coding RNA (HVUL_LNC004539)". The record is from RNAcentral. Lineage: Eukaryota; Viridiplantae; Streptophyta; Magnoliopsida; Poales; Poaceae.
GUUUUUUCUUUUUAUUCGACUUCCUUUGAUGAUUGCAACCUUGAUCUAGUUUUGUAGAGAUGUGAGCAAACUAAUAUUGUCUUGAAUUGGGAGAAGUGCCACUUUAUGGUUAAUGAAGGUAUUGUCUUGGGUCAUAAAAAUUAUGAACGAGACAUUGAGGUGGACGAUACGUCUCAAACGUAUCUAUAAUUUUUGAUGGUUUCACGCCGUUAUCUUGUCAACUUUGGAUGUUUUGUUUACCUUUUAUAUCUUUUUGGGACUAACUUAUUAACUCUGUUCCAAGUGCCAGUUCUGUUUUUUCUGUGUUUUUGACUCUUUUCAGAUCUGAUUUUGGAACGGAGUCCAAACGGAA